This 253-nucleotide ribosomal RNA is filed under the name uncultured bacterium. Its description in RNAcentral is "partial 16S ribosomal RNA". It matches the Rfam family "Bacterial small subunit ribosomal RNA", at positions 524 to 776 of the family's 1533-position model. The record is from RNAcentral.
UACAGAGGGUGCAAACGUUGUUCGGAAUCACUGGGCGUAAAGCGUGUGUAGGCGGUCUCGAAAGUCGGAUGUGAAAGCCCUGGGCUCAACCCAGGAAGUGCACCCGAAACUGUGAGGCUAGAGUAUCGGAGAGGUUGGUGGAAUUCUCGGUGUAGAGGUGAAAUUCGUAGAUAUCGAGAGGAACACCGGUGGCGAAGGCGGCCAACUGGACGAAUACUGACGCUGAGACACGAAAGCGUGGGGAGCAAACAGG